Molecule: signal recognition particle RNA, 89 nt
Filed under: marine eukaryotic metagenome
Description: Bacterial small signal recognition particle RNA
Rfam family: Bacterial small signal recognition particle RNA
About the family: The signal recognition particle (SRP) is a universally conserved ribonucleoprotein involved in the co-translational targeting of proteins to membranes.
Source: RNAcentral
UCGGUCCCCCCGCAAUGAACCUCUGUAAACUCCGCCAGGCCCGGAAGGGAGCAACGGUAGCAGAGACUUCGUGUGCUGGGGUGUGGCUG